GUGCACCAGUCGCGAAACCUCCGCAAUACACGAAAGUGUGACGGGGUUACCCAAAGUGUCCAAAUUUGGACUGUGGUAGGUGAGUAAUGUCCCCUACUAGAAAGGAGAGGGCAAGGCUGGUGCCAGCCGCCGCGGUAAAACCAGCUCUUCAAGUGGUCGGGAUAAUUAUUGGGCUUAAAGUGUCCGUAGCCGGUUUAGUAAGUUCCUGGUAAAAUCGGGUAGCUUAACUAUCUGUAUGCUAGGAAUACUGCUAUACUAGAGGGCGGGAGAGGUCUGAGGUACUACAGGGGUAGGGGUGAAAUCCUGUAAUCCUUGUAGGACCACCAGUGGCGAAGGCGUCAGACUGGAACGCGCCUGACGGUGAGGGACGAAAGCCAGGGGAGCGAACCGGAUUAGAUACCCCCGUAGU
RNAcentral lists this ribosomal RNA (409 nucleotides) under uncultured microorganism. RNAcentral describes it as "bacterial SSU rRNA". It matches the Rfam family "Archaeal small subunit ribosomal RNA", at positions 330 to 745 of the family's 1478-position model. The record is from RNAcentral.